This 253-nucleotide ribosomal RNA is filed under the name uncultured bacterium. Its description in RNAcentral is "partial 16S ribosomal RNA". It matches the Rfam family "Bacterial small subunit ribosomal RNA", at positions 524 to 776 of the family's 1533-position model. The record is from RNAcentral.
UACGGAGGGAGCUAGCGUUGUUCGGAAUUACUGGGCGUAAAGCGCACGUAGGCGGCUUUGUAAGUUAGAGGUGAAAGCCCGGGGCUCAACCCCGGAACUGCCUUUAAGACUGCAUCGCUUGAAUCCAGGAGAGGUGAGUGGAAUUCCGAGUGUAGAGGUGAAAUUCGUAGAUAUUCGGAAGAACACCAAUGGCGAAGGCAGCUCUCUGGGACGGUACUGACGCUGAGACGCGAAAGCGUGGGGAGCGAACAGG